GGCGGCAGGCCUAAUACAUGCAAGUCGAGCGCGCCCUUCGGGGUGAGCGGCGGACGGGUGAGUAACGCGUGGGAAUAUGCCCUUCUCUAAGGAAUAGCCUCUGGAAACGGAGAGUAAUACCUUAUACGCCCUUUGGGGGAAAGAUUUAUCGGAGAAGGAUUAGCCCGCGUUAGAUUAGGUAGUUGGUGGGGUAAUGGCCUACCAAGCCUACGAUCUAUAGCUGGUUUGAGAGGAUGAUCAGCCACACUGGGACUGAGACACGGCCCAGACUCCUACGGGAGGCAGCAGUAGGGAAUCUUAGACAAUGGGGGCAACCCUGAUCUAGCCAUGCCGCGUGUGUGAUGAAGGCCCUAGGGUCGUAAAGCACUUUCGCCAGAGAUGAUAAUGACAGUAUCUGGUAAAGAAACCCCGGCUAACUCCGUGCCAGCAGCCGCGGUAAUACGGAGGGGGUUAGCGUUGUUCGGAAUUACUGGGCGUAAAGCGCACGUAGGCGGAUUAGUAAGUUAGAGGUGAAAUCCCAGGGCUCAACCCUGGAACUGCCUUUAAUACUGCUAGUCUUGAGUUCGAGAGAGGUAAGUGGAAUUCCGAGUGUAGAGGUGAAAUUCGUAGAUAUUCGGAGGAACACCAGUGGCGAAGGCGGCUUACUGGCUCGAUACUGACGCUGAGGUGCGAAAGUGUGGGGAGCAAACAGGAUUAGAUACCCUGGUAGUCCACACCGUAAACGAUGAAUGCCAGACGUCAGCAAGUAUACUUGUUGGUGUCACACCUAACGGAUUAAGCA
This 781-nucleotide ribosomal RNA is filed under the name uncultured Planktomarina sp. Its description in RNAcentral is "bacterial SSU rRNA". It matches the Rfam family "Bacterial small subunit ribosomal RNA", at positions 38 to 866 of the family's 1533-position model. The record is from RNAcentral. Lineage: Bacteria; Pseudomonadati; Pseudomonadota; Alphaproteobacteria; Rhodobacterales; Paracoccaceae.